Molecule: transfer RNA, 64 nt
Filed under: Halobacillus sp. BAB-2008
Lineage: Bacteria; Bacillati; Bacillota; Bacilli; Caryophanales; Bacillaceae
Description: tRNA-Thr
Source: RNAcentral
GUAAUCAGUAGGUUGGGGGUUCAAGUCCUCUGGCCGGCACCACUUAAUAUUUAGUGGAGGGAUA